UCUCCCCUUUCCUAAAGCCUAAGACAAAAACUAAAAAAUAAAAUUAAAGUGACUGAUGCUGCUCUCUGUUUUCUAUGGCCUGCUUCCACUCUCUCUAUUUCCUCCAUCCUUAUUUUCCGACCCCUAUAUUUAUAGCCUUCACAAUAUCUUCGAGUAAAAUUGGGCUCUAAAUCAUGUUCAAACUACUCAACCCAUGCUUGCCGUC
Molecule: long non-coding RNA, 205 nt
Filed under: Elaeis guineensis (African oil palm)
Lineage: Eukaryota; Viridiplantae; Streptophyta; Magnoliopsida; Arecales; Arecaceae
Description: long non-coding RNA (EGUI_LNC003070)
Source: RNAcentral